GAUGAAGUAGCCAACACUGUUUAUAUGUAUAUAUACACACACACACAUAUAUAUAUAUAUAUAUAUAUAUAUAUAUAUAUAUAUUAAUUGGGGUAGCCCCCAAAAUAUUGGGACAUAUAAAAAAAGACAACUCUGUUCCGCAGAGUAGCUGUUGACAUUGUAGUUGCGCAGGAACUUUGUUGACUCUAGAGAACCUCGGGCAAAUCGCACAUCCCCGUGGCGGCAACUUUGCAUGCGGAUGUCAUCCAUAUCAAUUUUUGAUGCCAGUUUCUGUGCCUACCAUGGUGACCACGGGUAACGGGGAAUCAGGAUUCCAUUCCGUACAGGGACACUAAGAAACGGCUACCACAUGCAAGGAAGGCAGCAGGCACGCAUAUGACCCACUCCUGAUGCGGGAAGGUAGUGAC
Molecule: non-coding RNA, 407 nt
Organism: Pelobates cultripes (western spadefoot toad)
Lineage: Eukaryota; Metazoa; Chordata; Amphibia; Anura; Pelobatidae
Source: the annotation of a GenBank genome assembly